GACGAACGCUGGCGGCGUGCUUAACACAUGCAAGUCGAACGGUGAACCUCUUCGUAGGGGAUAAGUGGCGAACGGGUGAGUAACACGUGGGCAACCUGCCCCCGGCUCUGGGCUAACUCAAAGAAAUUGGGGCUAAUACCGGAUGUUCACCGCUUCCCGCCUGGGUGGAGGUGGAACGGGUUUCCGGCUGGGGCUGGGCCCUCGGCCUCUCAGCUCGGUGGUGGGGGAGUGGCAUACCAAGGCGACGACGGGUAGCCGGCCUGCGAGGGUGACCGGCCACACUGGGACUGAGACACGGCCCAGACUCCUACGGGAGGCAGCAGUGGGGAAUAUUGCGCAAUGGGCGGAAGCCUGACGCAGCGACGCCGCGUGGGGGAUGACGGCCUUCGGGUUGUAAACCUCUUUCAGCAGGGACGAAGCGCAAGUGACGGUACCUGCAGAAGAAGCACCGGCCAACUACGUG
RNAcentral lists this ribosomal RNA (463 nucleotides) under uncultured bacterium. RNAcentral describes it as "partial 16S ribosomal RNA". It matches the Rfam family "Bacterial small subunit ribosomal RNA", at positions 28 to 507 of the family's 1533-position model. The record is from RNAcentral.